Long non-coding RNA from Mus musculus (house mouse), 2901 nucleotides. RefSeq annotates it as predicted gene, 53887. The record is from RefSeq and is a predicted model, not a curated record. The transcript is spliced from 3 exons. NCBI's taxonomy places the organism in Eukaryota, Metazoa, Chordata, Mammalia, Rodentia, Muridae.
GGGUCCCCGGAAAUGACGAAGUUUCAUGUCGCUCUCUUCGCGCCUGGAUCCGCCCUGUCAAUCAAAGGUGGGCGUGUGCCUGGAGGAUGCCGCUGCCUCCUGAGGGCUUAGCGGUUGUGUCGCUUGCCGUGACGAGAUUUUAUCCCCCUGGAAGUCCUGACUGUUCCACAUCCCAUACCUCCUCCUCCCCUUGUCUCCAUGAGGAUGUCCCUACCCCCCACCCUACCAGACCUCUCCAUUCCCUGGGACCUCCAGUCUUUUGAAGGGGAUAUGGUGAACAUCUGUGUUCUCACAGCAUGACCCAGCAGGAGCAGCAGCCCUGGGAACUCUUGAACAGUGUAGACUCUGUGCUAUCCUAGACCUCCUGAGUCAGAGUCUGUACUGUGCUGUACAGUCCAGGUCACUCGUCAUUCUAAUGCACUCUAUAGCCUGAGAAACUGUAAAGUCAAAUGUAUGUAUGUAUGUAUGUAUGUACAUGUAUGUAUAUUAUAUUCAUAUAUAUAUAUAUUUUAUAUGUGAUUUAUUGUAUAUAUCAGUUUCCUUAAUCACACUAAAACUCCCCUUUUCUCCCCCUUGUUAUUUCAGUCCCCUCUUACAUGGCUCCCACACUUAUCCAUACUUCUGAAGUUUUCAAUAACCCAACCCAAAUAAGAUAAAGCACCCCAUGCAUAACAAAGAGAGUUGCUGAAGCCCUCUCUCCUUUCCCUGCCCAUCUGUGUGUUUUGUGACGUAUUUACAUUUCUGCUCUUUGACAGUCUUGUGUGUGUGUGUGUGUGUGUGUGUGUGUGUGUGUGUGUGUGUGUGUGUGAUCAAUCUUGGUCCUUCACCUCUCUGUUGCCCCUGUCCUCCUGGUGAUGCUCUUCUUUCCAGCAGCUCUCCCGCUCUCUCAUCUUCACUGUGUGUGCCCCUGAGUUUAAAUGGGGUUGACUGGGUGACCAUGAGUGGCAUCUUAUCUGAAGCAUGGGCAGCGUGUCAGUGCUACAUCAGUGAAGGCAGUGAGUCCCCUCCCGGCAGCCCCUGCUAACUCUUCAGGGAGCAGUGGGAGCUCAAGAGCCCUGCCCACCUCCAGGAUGCAUGGUGACAGGCAGUCUCAUGUGCUUCUUGUGCGGGUCACCUCUCUGGGAGUGACUUCAGGACUGCCAUCUUUCCAUUCCCUCUGUUCCUUGCCAGGGUAGGGUGAUUAUAGCCAUGCCCCAUUUAGAAACAUGCACCAUGUGUAUUUUAAAAGUCAAUCUACUUAACUGCACAUUUGAGAAAAGAAUAUAAGCCAGAAUAAGGAAAGACUACUCAGAUUACACAGGUAGAAAACAAUUUCUACACACAGAACUAAUAAUCAAACUAGACCUACCAGAUCUCUCACGUUUCUUCUGGUUAAUAUAUUCUCCAAUUCCAAAAUCUAGUUUUAAUAGAAUGGACUUGACUUUGCUGUAUAUUUUUUGUCCAAUAUCAUUACAUUUAAACAGUGGACACAAAAAAGCAAACAGUACUGAAAAAUAAAGAAGAAAAUAAUACAGGUAAAGUGUUCGUUCUGAAUGCUUACAUUUUAGUAUUUUACAAGAUAAUGUUUCGUUUAUCCCUUCAUCAAGUACACUCCUAAUUUUUAUUCUUACUCUGUGGUAAAAACAUACUUUACCACACACACACGCACACACACACACCAUAAAAACCUAUAACCACUGUCCCCGGCUAAAAUCUUACUUCUGUUUAACAUUGCUGUUUAUCAUGAGAACAUGAUUGCAUCUUAUUAACUUCUUGUCAAUGAUACUGGGAUGGUGUUUUGUGGGGUUGCUCUAGCUGGCCAUGCAGUUAAGCUCGGCACAAACAAGAUGGAGAAUACCUUGCUCCUAACUCCUUUGCCAGCACUUUUCUCACUUAUUUUCUACAUAAUGUGGAUCCAGUAACUACUGUAAGUUCUGUUUGGAAGACCGGAUGGAGCUUCAACCAUUUGCCAGGUGUACUGUGCAUCAGGAAUACAGAAGAAGGGAAGAGAGCCACGCUGGCUGUACUGUGCAUUCAGUGUUUGAUGUUUGGUUGUUGAUGGGUAAUGUCCUCUUUUAGUCAUAUUUAAAGCCCAGUGGAGUACAUGUAAAACUCAAAAGCCAAUGUAAAAAUGGAAAUGGGGGUUAGCAGAGAUAUUGCCCUGCUGAGAGCUAACAGCCAGAUCUUCGUAUAUUUUAGGAAAAGUAGAAUAUAUAAUGUGAAGAUCUUUUUAGAGUUAUAAUUCACAUAUAACAAAUUACAUGUAAUGUUACAACUUGAUAAGUUGUGACAUGUAAUCAACAAGAAUUCUUGGUACAAUCAUAACAGUAAACAGUUUACGGCUAGCAAGUUGCCUCAUGUCGGUAUUAAUCCUUUUUGCCUCUUGCCUCUCCCUGACCACACCCAACUCAUCCUUGGCAACCACUGAUCUACUUUUUGACUAUUCUGGAAUUAUAUAUAAAUAGAACUAUAUAGUACAAGCUGUGGCUUUUCCCAUUCAGCCUAAUUACUUUGGAAUUUAUCUAUAGUACUGCAUGCAUCAAUUUUUAGUGCUGGGUAAUAAUCCAUUAUAUGGAUAUAGCGCAGUUUAUCUGUCUCUGUAAGGCUCAUAUGAAUUGUAUCCCUUUGUGCUACUAAAACCAAACCUGCCAUGAACAUUUGUGUAUAACUAUUUGCAGAGAUGUAUCCAACUGUUUCUCUUGGGUAAAUAUCGAAUUGUGAGACAGCCAGCUAUACAAUAGACACAGACGUGCAGUUUUCUGAUGGCACCAUUCUACCUACCUACCCCUGAGAAUGAGGGCUGCUCUAUAUCAGUACUCUGUUUGAUGUGAUGUUCUUAAUUUAGGCCUUUCUGGCACAGAUACAGUGAUAUCUCAUUGUGAUUUUUACCUUUGGUUUCACAAAACAUGCACAAAGGCAAGA